Molecule: ribosomal RNA, 440 nt
Filed under: uncultured bacterium
Lineage: Bacteria
Description: partial 16S ribosomal RNA
Rfam family: Bacterial small subunit ribosomal RNA
Source: RNAcentral
CCUACGGGAGGCUGCAGUGGGGAAUAUUGCACAAUGGGGGAAACCCUGAUGCAGCGACGCCGCGUGAGCGAUGAAGUAUUUCUGUAUGUAAAGCUCUAUCAGCAGGGAAGAAAAUGACGGUACCUGACUAAGUAGCUCCGGCUAACUACGUGCCAGCAGCGGCGGUACUACGUAGGGGGCAAGCGUUAUCCGGAUUUACUGGGUGUAAGGGGAGCGUAGAGGGUCCUGCAAGCCAGAGGUGAAAGCCCGGGGCUCAACCCCGGGAUUGCAUUUGGAACUGUAAGGCUAGAGUGUCGGAGAGGCAGGCGGAAUGCCUGGUGUAGCGGUGAAAUGCGUAGAUAUUAGGAGGAACACCAGUGGCGAAGGCGGCCUGCUGGGCGAUGACUGACGUUGAGGCUCGAAAGCGUGGGGAGCAAACAGGAUUAGAUACCCGAGUAGUC